GCCGCCGCCACGCCACAUCCCAGCGAGCCUGCACGCGUCCUCCUCUCCUCACCCGUGGCCGUGGGAAUACAUCAGCGGCCACAAACAGCGGUCGCCGCAUCUGACGAGGGAGAAGCUCCCUGAUGGGUGAUCGGAAUCGGAAGGGGGGACGGACGAUGGUUGUGCCGCGCGGGCGAUCGAUCGAGGUCAUGGUGGACGCAGCCGAGGAGAUCGAUGAGACGGCCGAUCCAUCGAGGUGGACGCAGCCGAGGAGAUGAGAUGCUCGAUCGGCCAUCUCAUCUCAUCCAUCCUUCUAAUUCCCUAGGUUCCGCUCCGCAUAUGGAUGAGGUGAGAUGGAUGAUGGCAUAUGCUGGUUCGGUGGGUUUCUAGUUGUAGAGUAUGUCUAAAGAAUGGUUGUAGAAUAUAUCCAGCCCAUCUAUAUAUAAUAGUUACGGUAACGAUUCUUAGUAAUUUAAGACAUAAAUACCCACUAUAUAUAGCAGUAUAUAUGUUUUACAUAAUAAUACGCCAAUUGUUAGUAAUUCAAAACAUAGUAACGAUCGAAGUGAAUGGACCGUCGCCAACCCAGAUCCUAUUAUAAGAUUGAAGGUGUGAUUCUGCUGAAAAUACUUACAGUGUGAUUCUGCUGAAAACAGGGGUGAAUUUUCCAUCCAUAUUUAAAAUCCUGUUCUCUUCAAUCUUGUUCUUUUCACCAUGCUUGAGCCAUCCAUUUAAGGUACCAUCAAAAGAGCUGGUGGAUAUUAUAAGACGAUAAUCUGGGUGCACCUUGUAGAUAUUCUGCAACACCACCACAUUUGGGUGCCUCCAGGUGCUCAUCAGUCGGAGCGAAGAAAGAACUUUGUCUUUAGCAUCAUACCACUUCAAGAGGCAAUCAGUGGUGAAACUCCCUACAGUGUAGGUUCCUCUGAAGAAGGCAGUAGGCACCUCAUGAAAAUCAGAAAGGAAGUCUUUUUUGUUCCCUAGCUUAAUGGCCUUGACAGAGCAGCUGCGGUUUGUGUUGUCAUAAGAAAAGGGACUGUCUAUUUGACAUUUGACUGUUUUUCAAUUCGACAACAUUCAUAUUUUCUGACAAAUGAACAGUUGACACCUGUCAGACAGCACAAAAUGGGACGCCAAAACGGGUCACGGAAAAGAUCUGACCCGGUUCGCUGGACAACUAGCCACUCCAAAAAAUUCAGGAACCAACUCCCUUGAUCUUCAGGACCACACAGUACGUGCCCAGCUUGCAACGCAUGAAAAGGGCCAAACCCCUCCCACAAACCACUCAACAGAUCUCACCUAACAACACAAAACAGCAAAUCAGAAGGGGGAAGAUGGAGGCGGCCAUGGGCGAGGGGGGAGGAGAAGAAGGGAGAUCAAGCAUAAAUCAGAAGGGUUUGGGAGAAGAGGAUGUACCUGACGAGGAACAAGGAAGAACAUCGGAGGGAAUUCAACAACUAUCCCAACUGCUCACCAUCUUCUCUCUUCACCUGUCACAAGAACAAAUCAGGAGGAAUUUUCUUCAUCUACAAGAGAUAGAUCAACAUCAGCUGUAUUUCUGGGCAAAUCCCAUAAUUUUUGUGAUCAAUUACAUUGACAUCAACAUGGAAAUUACACUGAAAUGCUGAAAUUGUUCAAUGGAAAAUACAGUUUAGUUUUCGGAAAACUUACAAGAAUAUUUACAAUGUAAAUUAACAUGGAAAUACAGCACUUCUGAAUUUCCAGUGUAAAUCCCAAUGUAAAUUCCAGUGUACAUCCUGACGUAAAAUCAAGUGUUACAGUAAA
Molecule: long non-coding RNA, 1764 nt
Organism: Triticum dicoccoides
Lineage: Eukaryota; Viridiplantae; Streptophyta; Magnoliopsida; Poales; Poaceae
Exons: 2
Source: RefSeq, a predicted model, not a curated record